Leucoraja erinaceus (little skate) is the source of this 856-nucleotide long non-coding RNA. RefSeq lists it as uncharacterized. Lineage: Eukaryota; Metazoa; Chordata; Chondrichthyes; Rajiformes; Rajidae. The transcript is spliced from 3 exons. The record is from RefSeq and is a predicted model, not a curated record.
UCGGAGACCGGGCUUAAUAGCUUGCAGCCUAGCCUGAGCAACCGGGCGGUCGGCGGGCGCGUUUUGACACUUUCCCCCAAUCUGGCCAGGUGCGCUGUUACUCGGCGCACACUAGUCACAGCCCAGCUCCCAGUGGCGGAGGCGGCGUUAAAGCGAUCGAUGUGUUUAAGCCUCUGUACGACGUGCUGCCAAUAGGUGUGAGUUUUGCCACAAAACUUCUCUCUGGUACAGUUAUUGGAACAUUUCAUUGUAUAUAACCCGACUGAGUCUGAAGAAGAGUCUCGUCCCGAAACGUCACCGAUUCCUUCUCUCCAGAGAUGCUGCCCGUCCCGCUGAGUUACUCCAGCACUUUGUCUACCCAAGGAGUUUGCAAAGAUUGCGACAAUUAGUAAAGCAGCACACUUCCUCGACUUUGAACGUCCAGAAUACGACGUAGAUCGAUUUUCUCAAUGGGAUGAAAUUCAUCUUGUGUAACAAAUCCAAGCUGCUGGGAGGACUAAGAUCAAACUGUGAAGCCCCUACUUUUCAAGCUGGAUUGGCCAGCUGAACGAAACUCGGAGAAAGUACUCAGAGAAACAAGGAACUGCAGAUGCCGGAAUCCUGAGCAAAAUGCAAAGUGUUGGAGAAACGGAACGGAUCAGGCAGCAGCAUCUUCGGAGAGAAUGGUCCUGACCCGAAAUGCGGCCUGUCCAACUGAUAGAUACCGCCGGACCCGUUGAGUUCCUCCACAACUUUGUGUUUUGCUCAGAUAAAGUAUACAAAUCGUUAAUUUUAAAAGCGAAACUGUCAAACUGUAUAAAGCAGACAACAUUACUGAACACGGCGGUGAUCAAUAAAUCGUUGAUUUUGGGAUCAA